AGAGUUUGAUCAUGGCUCAGGAUGAACGCUAGCGGCAGGCCUAAUACAUGCAAGUCGAACGGGAUGGUUCAGCAAUGAACUGUUCAGUGGCGCACGGGUGCGUAACGCGUAUGCAACCUACCUUAAACUGGGGGAUAGCCUUCCGAAAGGGAGAUUAAUACCGCAUAAGAUCACGAGAGGGCAUCUGAUUGUGAUUAAAGAUUUAUUGGUUUAAGAUGGGCAUGCGUGCCAUUAGCUAGUUGGUAGGGUAACGGCCUACCAAGGCUACGAUGGCUAGGGGUUCUGAGAGGAUGAUCCCCCACACUGGCACUGAGAUACGGGCCAGACUCCUACGGGAGGCAGCAGUAGGGAAUAUUGGGCAAUGGACGCAAGUCUGACCCAGCCAUGCCGCGUGCAGGAAGAAGGCCUUCUGGGUUGUAAACUGCUUUUAUCUGGGAAGAAAUAACCCCUGCGGGGGGAACUGACGGUACCAGAGGAAUAAGCACCCCGGCUAACUCCGUGCCAGCAGCCGCGGUA
Molecule: ribosomal RNA, 516 nt
Filed under: uncultured Bacteroidota bacterium
Lineage: Bacteria; Pseudomonadati; Bacteroidota
Description: bacterial SSU rRNA
Rfam family: Bacterial small subunit ribosomal RNA
Source: RNAcentral